Molecule: ribosomal RNA, 586 nt
Filed under: uncultured Helotiales
Lineage: Eukaryota; Fungi; Ascomycota; Leotiomycetes; Helotiales
Description: eukaryotic LSU rRNA
Rfam family: 5.8S ribosomal RNA (bases 226-379)
Source: RNAcentral
CUUGGUCAUUUAGAGGAAGUAAAAGUCGUAACAAGGUUUCCGUAGGUGAACCUGCGGAAGGAUCAUUACAGAGAUCAUGCCCUUCGGGGUAGACCUCCCACCCUUUGUUAUACCAACGAAUGUUGCUUUGGCGAGCCGCCCUAGGCCGUCGGCCUCGGCUGACGCGUGCUCGCCAGAGGCCCCAAACUCUGUAUCAGCGUCGUCUGAGUACUAUAUAAUAGUUAAAACUUUCAACAACGGAUCUCUUGGUUCUGGCAUCGAUGAAGAACGCAGCGAAAUGCGAUAAGUAAUGUGAAUUGCAGAAUUCAGUGAAUCAUCGAAUCUUUGGACGCACAUUGCGCCCCUUGGUAUUCCGGGGGGCAUGCCUGUUCGAGCGUCAUUUCAACCCUCAAGCUCUGCUUGGUCUUGGGCCCUGCCGGCAACGGCUGGCCUCAAAAGUAGUGGCGGCGCCAUCGUGCUCUCAGCGUAGUAAUUCUUCUCGCUGUUGGGUCCCGGUGGACGCUGGCCAGCAACCCCCCAUUUCUAAUGUUGACCUCGGAUCAGGUAGAGAUACCCGCUGAACUUAAGCAUAUCAAUAAGCGGAGGA